GAUUAAGUUAUUAAGGGCGCACGGUGGAUGCCUUGGCACUAGAAGCCGACGAAGGACGUUACUAACGACGAUAUGCUUUGGGGAGCUGUAAGUAAGCUUUGAUCCAGAGAUUUCCGAAUGGGGAAACCCAGCACGAGUUAUGUCGUGUUAUCGAUAUGUGAAUA
RNAcentral lists this ribosomal RNA (164 nucleotides) under Staphylococcus saprophyticus. Its description in RNAcentral is "partial 23S ribosomal RNA". It matches the Rfam family "Bacterial large subunit ribosomal RNA", at positions 1 to 164 of the family's 2925-position model. Lineage: Bacteria; Bacillati; Bacillota; Bacilli; Caryophanales; Staphylococcaceae. The record is from RNAcentral.